UACGUAGGGGCCAAGCGUUGUCCGGAUUUAUUGGGCGUAAAGAGCUCGUAGGCGGUUUGGUAAGUCGGCGGUGAAAUCUCCACGCUCAACGUGGAGGCGUCCGUCGAUACUGCUGUGACUCGAGUCCGGUAGGGGAGUGUGGAAUUCCCGGUGUAGCGGUGAAAUGCGCAGAGAUCGGGAGGAACACCCGUAGCGAAGGCGGCACUCUGGGCCGGUACUGACGCUGAGGAGCGAAAGCGUGGGGAGCAAACAGG
RNAcentral lists this ribosomal RNA (254 nucleotides) under uncultured bacterium. Its description in RNAcentral is "partial 16S ribosomal RNA". It matches the Rfam family "Bacterial small subunit ribosomal RNA", at positions 524 to 776 of the family's 1533-position model. The record is from RNAcentral.